Molecule: ribosomal RNA, 468 nt
Filed under: uncultured bacterium
Lineage: Bacteria
Description: partial 16S ribosomal RNA
Rfam family: Bacterial small subunit ribosomal RNA
Source: RNAcentral
GACGAACGCUGGCGGCGUGCUUAACACAUGCAAGUCGAACGGAAAGGCCCUGCUUUUGUGGGGUGCUCGAGUGGCGAACGGGUGAGUAACACGUGAGUAACCUGCCCUUGACUUUGGGAUAACUUCAGGAAACUGGGGCUAAUACCGGAUAGGAGCUCCUGCUGCAUGGUGGGGGUUGGAAAGUUUCGGCGGUUGGGGAUGGACUCGCGGCUUAUCCGCUUGUUGGUGGGGUAGUGGAUUACCAAGGCUUUGACGGGUAGCCGGCCUGAUAGGUUGACCGGCCACAAUGGGACUGAGAGACGGCCCAGACGCCUACGGGAGGCAGCAGUGGAGAAUAUUGCACAAUGGGCGGAAGCCUGAUGCAGCAACGCCGCGUGCGGGAUGACGGCCUUCGGGUUGUAAACCGCUUUCGCCUGUGACGAAGCGUGAGUGACGGUAAUGGGUAAAGAAGCACCGGCUAACUACGUG